AUAAUCACUUGUUCUUUAAAUGAGGACUCGUAUCAACGGCACUACGAGGGCUAUACUGUCUCCUUUUUCUAAUCAGUGAAACUGAUCUCCCCGUGAAGAAGCGGGGAUCAAAAUAUAAGACGAGAAGACCCCAUGGAGCUUUAAACUCACUAUACACCUCUGUGCCUUUAUGUCACUAGACACAAGAGAUCUGCGUACUAGUUUUAGGUUGGGGGGACCACGGAGUAUAAUUUAACCUCCAUAACAAAUGGGCUAACACCCUUAUCUACGAGACACAACUCUAAGAAUUACUAAACUAAUGCUUAUGACCCGAUAUUCGAUCAAUGAACCAAGUUACCCUGGGGAUAACAGCGCAAUCUACUUCAAGAGCCCAUAUCGACAAGUGGGUUUACGACCUCGAUGUUGGAUCAGGGUAUCCCGGUGGUGCAGCCGCUACCGACGGUUCGUUUGUUCAACGAUUAAAACCCUACGUGAUCUGAG
RNAcentral lists this ribosomal RNA (480 nucleotides) under Rana graeca (Greek frog). Its description in RNAcentral is "partial large subunit ribosomal RNA". It matches the Rfam family "Bacterial large subunit ribosomal RNA", at positions 1961 to 2609 of the family's 2925-position model. Lineage: Eukaryota; Metazoa; Chordata; Amphibia; Anura; Ranidae. The record is from RNAcentral.